GAUGAACGCUGGCGGCGUGCUUAACACAUGCAAGUCGAGCGAGUGAAUUCUUCGGAACGAUCUAGCGGCGGACGGGUGAGUAACACGUGGGCAACCUGCCUCAUAGAGGAGAAUAGCCUCCCGAAAGGGAGAUUAAUACCGCAUAGCAUCGUUGAAGGGCAUCCUCCGAUGAUCAAAGGAGCAAUCCGCUAUGAGAUGGGCCCGCGGCGCAUUAGCUAGUUGGUGAGGUAACGGCCCACCAAGGCGACGAUGCGUAGCCGACCUGAGAGGGUGAUCGGCCACAUUGGGACUGAGACACGGCCCAGACUCCUACGGGAGGCAGCAGUGGGGAAUAUUGCACAAUGGGGGAAACCCUGAUGCAGCAACGCCGCGUGAGUGAUGACGGCCUUCGGGUUGUAAAGCUCUGUCUUUGGGGACGAUAAUGACGGUACUCAAGGAGGAAGUCACGGCUAACUACGUGCCAGCCGCCGCCGUAA
Molecule: ribosomal RNA, 476 nt
Filed under: uncultured bacterium
Lineage: Bacteria
Description: partial 16S ribosomal RNA
Rfam family: Bacterial small subunit ribosomal RNA
Source: RNAcentral